GCCCUUGUAGCUCAGUGGUAGAGCACUGGUCUCGUAAACCAGGGGUCGCGAGUUCAAUCCUCGUUGAGGGCU
This 72-nucleotide transfer RNA is filed under the name Intoshia linei. It matches the Rfam family "tRNA". From Rfam's summary of the family: Transfer RNA (tRNA) molecules are approximately 80 nucleotides in length. Their secondary structure includes four short double-helical elements and three loops (D, anti-codon, and T loops). The record is from Rfam by way of RNAcentral. Lineage: Eukaryota; Metazoa; Orthonectida; Rhopaluridae.